GACUUCUCCAGCCUGCUGGCAAAUGCUGGCGCUGUGCAGCGCCCUGCCAGAGGAAACCGACCCUGCAGAGGGGUUGCCAGUACUGCCGAGGAGAUGGGACUCUAGGACUACGGAUCCCCCUGCCGAGACUGUGGUACGUGGAAGGAAGAUCUGUUGACCUAUCUGUUGGGUUUCUGUUGCACCCACCACUGCAGCAUCUAAGCAUUUUCUAGGACCUCUACCUCAUUCAGUGGACAGAAUGGACUGUGUUCAGGUUUUGUGCUGUGUUCUGAAGGACCCCCUUCCUCAUUCACUGUAAAAUGAAAGGGUGGCUGUGACAAUACAUAAAUUAAUGUGUGUAAUACACUCAGAUACUACAUAUCAAAACCCACCAGCCUUGCGUUGUCCCUGACUGCUGCUACACUCAUACUGUAUGUGUCUGAAGCUCUUUUCUCCCCACCCGCCUGCAGUAUCAGUGCUUCCAAAAUUGCAGUAAGAAAUGUGAGAAGGCACUUUAUGGAGCAGUUACAGAGAACCCAGGCUGAGUGCUAAUGAUCUUGAUAGUGACAAAUGAAUAUAGAAGUUCUCAAGCAAGAAGGUGUUGAAAGAGACCAAAUAGCACGAGUGUGAGAGAGUCUUUCAACAGUAAGUGAAGCUACAAGCAUAAAAAGAUGGAACCAUCAUUACUUUAUUGGCUUUUAGGGUGAAAAUCACACCCAUGCAGAGAGUCAGUACAAGGCCUAUGUGCCACUAAAAUCCUACAUAAGUAUUAUUCUGAGGUCUUACGUGGACAUGAGGCUCAGCUAUGCCCUACUCUGUAGGGAUAAAAUGAGCAUGGAUCUGUCUCAGGUGCGUACUUUAAAUACCAUAACAAAACUAAGGCUUUGCCCAACUGCUUUCUUUGGAAAUUCAAACUUCCGGACAUUAAACCCAAAUUCAGGUACAGGAGGAGAGGGUAAUGGCCUAUGAAGAUUCCACUGAGGGUCUUUACCAGAACAUUGGAACAACAGAUGUAAUUGUCUCGUCCCCCACCCUGAAAACUUAAUUCUAUCUUAUACUUUGGGCCCACUGCAUGAUGGGAUAGACCUUGAGGAGUUUAGCUAGUUCUGUGUUGCUGUCCAUGCUGUCUGUGAGGCCUGAUCUAGAGCCCAUUAAGGUCAAUAAAAGUCCUCUUAUAAACUUCAGCAGGCUUUGGAUCAGGUCAUAAACGUUCAGGAAAGCUGAUAGUUACUUUAGUUUAGGGUUAACUAAUAAGUGCUAAACAUUAACAAAUCAACUUAUCCCCCAGCCUCCCAAUGCUCAGUGGCAGAGCUAAUGGUGCCUUUUAGGUCUCUGUGUCACUUUUUGAAGAGUAUUAUGUAAUUGGCAAAAGGAACGUAUGACACAGAUUUUCCCACAGGAUGGAGAAUCAGCUCACCCUGCACUCACCCGGCAAUGGAGGCUCCUGUCCUGGAGGACUAGUCCUGGCUCCCUGCUCUGUGUGUUGCAACAUGGUACACAGGGUCCAGUGGUGCUGCAACCCACUGUGCCAUGUUGCAAUGCCAUUAACUCAGAUGUGGCCCAAGCUUGCUUCUGCCCAGCCUCAUCUCUGCACCAGGCUGGGAUUAGGGCUGCAGUGCUGGGGUGGAGGGUUCUGCUGCGAGUGGUUGAUGCCCCCUCAUCAGGGUGAGGAGGAGGAGGAGAAGGUGAUGGCGGCAGAGGAGUGCACCCAUUGAAUAGGGAGGCUACAUCUGCCAUUGAAUCCACUUGAUUACACUGUGUUUAAAACUUUAACUGCAUGCAUACAAGUCUGUUCACUUUACUUGUAAAUAGCUAGCUACAUUUGCCCUUUCUGUGAGAGUUGUAGUCUUAGGCUGUCACCGCUGAGAAAGCAAAACUGGAUAGUGGCAAUGCAGCAUCCAGAGAGUGACAACCCGGUACAUGCUUUUUGCAGGCAAAGUGGUUCUUGUGGGGGAGAACAAAGAGGAUAUCAUAGAAGAUUUAGAGAGAUGGGGUUGUGUACUUGAAAGAAAGGGCAUGAAAAUCAGUGGAAAUAAAACAGAGUAUAUGAUCUGUAGAUUCAAUGAUACUCUGCAGGAAGACAAAGAAACUGUAACUCUGGGGAGCCAGCCAUUACCAAAGAGACAGAAAUUCAAGUACAAUAAUACAGGAUAACGGUGAACUCAGCUACGAACUUAUAAGCCGCAUAGGCAAGACAUGGACUAAAUGGAGAGAAGGGAGACGAAUGAUCUACCAUAGAAUAAUACCUAUCAAAUUGAAAAGUAAGAUCCACAAGAUGGUAAGUAGGCCUUCACUUUUGUAUGGCUCUGAAUGCUGGGCACUGAGGAAGAACCAGGUGCAGAUCUUGAAUACAGGGGAAUGUUAAGAUGGAUGCUUGGGGUUACAAGGAUGGACCAUGUUCAGAAUGAAUGAAUUAGGGGAAGUGUGAAGGUGGCACCAAUUAUAGAAAAGCUGAGGGAAUUAGCUGGUUCUGAAAAGAAGAUCAGAACAAUAUAUAAGAAAUAGUAUGUUAAACUCAAAAGCGGAGGGUAAGAGAAGGGUUGGAAGACUAGAUGGAUGUCAGACAAAAGGAUUUGAUUAGCUGUGGAGUUUCCAAGGAAAUCUUCAGGGCAGACUGGAAUGGAGAAGAGGGACUCAAAAAGCCAACCCUGUAUAGAGGGGACCAAGGAUAGAAGAAGAAGAACCUAUGCAACUCUUGUUGGUUUGGAAAAUGAAACAAAAUGGUUAAUUAAUUUCUGUACUGGGGUCCCGGGAGAUUCUUCUGAAGAGGGAGGAUGUGUUUUUUUUUUUAAAAGCAAAG
This is a long non-coding RNA of Chelonia mydas (Green sea turtle), 2779 nucleotides long. RefSeq lists it as uncharacterized. The transcript is spliced from 5 exons. The record is from RefSeq and is a predicted model, not a curated record. Lineage: Eukaryota; Metazoa; Chordata; Testudines; Cheloniidae.